This 1067-nucleotide ribosomal RNA is filed under the name Protzia eximia. RNAcentral describes it as "partial large subunit ribosomal RNA". It matches the Rfam family "Eukaryotic large subunit ribosomal RNA", at positions 405 to 1241 of the family's 3401-position model. The record is from RNAcentral. Lineage: Eukaryota; Metazoa; Arthropoda; Arachnida; Trombidiformes; Hydryphantidae.
CCGCUUGCAGGUAAACAGAUGGACCCACGAAGUCCAGUUGAGCAAGAGAUUCAUAUCCUUCAAUAGACAAGGUGAACAGGGAAGUCCCAAGCGGAGUGAUCUGUUCACUGCUCAUUGUCGAUCGAAGGAUGCAUUUCUCUUGCUCACGAUGGAGCUCUGACUGCUCUAACUGACUUGACCGCUUAUGGCCGCCUCAGAAUGUGGUUGAUUCCUACGGUUUCAAAUCACAUUCAGAGGUGAAGUGAGUCAAGUCGAAUUGAGCAGUUGAAAUUCUUACAUUGUAAGUUUUCAGGUUGUCGGUAUUCACUUGAUGCAGUCAAAGAUGAUAACAGUGACGCUCUUUCGACUCUUGUAGUUGAAGACGUUCUGUUAAUAUACUCAUCUUUAUGCACUGCAUCAAGUAGUAUCAUGAUGAUAAUCCAGAGUAAGUAGGUCGGUCAUCCAUCUGACCCGUCUUGAAACACGGACCAAGGAGUCCAACAUUUACGCGAGUCGCUCGGUCUUGCUUAGGCCUGAGAGGCGAAAUAAACAUAACGGUAUGAUCCCAUACUCACCUUUCGAGGUAGUUGGGCGCAAUACCAACCUGCUUAUUCUGCCUUUUGACAGAUAAGUGGAGUUUGAGCGUAAAUGUUGGUACCCGAAAGAUGGUGAACUAUACUUGGGCAAGACGAAGCCAGAGGAAACUCUGGUGGAGGUCUGUAGCGAUUCUGACGUGCAAAUCGAUCGUCAGACCUGAGUAUAGGGGCGAAAGACUAAUCGAACCAUCUAGUAGCUGGUUCCUUCCGAAGUUUCCCUCAGGAUAGCUGGCACUAAACUACUCUGUAGCAUCCGGUAAAGCGAAUGAUUAGAGGUAUUGGGAUCGAAACGAUCUCAACCUAUUCUCAUACUUUAAAUGGGUGCGAGAACAUGACUUGUUUGCUCUAAAGUCAUGCUUCGUAAGAGUAGUGCCAAGUGGGCCAUUUUUGGUAAGCAGAACUGGCGCUGUGGGAUGAACCAAACGUCGAGUUAAGGCACCAAAUGCUGACGCUCAUGAGACCCCAUGAAAGGUGUUGGUUGCUAUAGACAGC